UCGAUAAGCGUUUCAACGAAG
Non-coding RNA from Caenorhabditis elegans, 21 nucleotides. The record is from Ensembl. Lineage: Eukaryota; Metazoa; Nematoda; Chromadorea; Rhabditida; Rhabditidae.